Molecule: ribosomal RNA, 470 nt
Rfam family: Bacterial large subunit ribosomal RNA
UAACAAAAACAUCACUAGAAGAUAAAGACUUUUAGCAAUACCUGCCCAGUGCGAAAUAUUACUGUAAACGGCCGCCCUAGCGUGAGGGUGCUAAGGUAGCGAAAUUCCUUGCCUUUUGAUUGUAGGCCUGCAUGAAUGGUUUAACGAGGGUUUAACUGUCUCUAAAUUUUUUAUUGAAAUUGUACUGAAGGUGAAGAUACCUUCAUUAAAAAGUUAGACAAAAAGACCCCGUGCAACUUUGAAAAUUGACUUUAUUCAGGAGUAAAAGAUUUUUAGGUGGGGCGCCUAGAAAGUAAGCCUAACCUUUCUGAGUAACUAACUCUUUCCGGAUUUGACCCGAUUAUAUUCGAUCAUAGGAGAAGUUACGCCGGGGAUAACAGGCUAAUCCUUUAGUAGAGUUCGUAUUGGCUAAAGGGAUUGGCACCUCGAUGUUGAAUCAGGGAUGAUAGCUUCAAGGCGUAGAGGCUUUG